UACGAGAGGCCCAAACGUUAUUCGGAAUUACUGGGCUUAAAGAGUUCGUAGGCGGCGCGGAAAGUAGGGUGUGAAAGCCCUCGGCUCAACCGAGGAAUUGCGCUCUAAACUACCGUGCUUGAGGAAGCUAGAGGUGAGCGGAACUGAUGGUGGAGCGGUGAAAUGCGUUGAUAUCAUCAGGAACACCGGAGGCGAAGGCGGCUCACUGGGACGGUACUGACGCUGAGACGCGAAAGCGUGGGGAGCGAACAGG
Molecule: ribosomal RNA, 253 nt
Filed under: uncultured bacterium
Lineage: Bacteria
Description: partial 16S ribosomal RNA
Rfam family: Bacterial small subunit ribosomal RNA
Source: RNAcentral